This is a long non-coding RNA of Lotus japonicus, 2051 nucleotides long. RefSeq lists it as uncharacterized. The transcript is spliced from 9 exons. The record is from RefSeq and is a predicted model, not a curated record. NCBI's taxonomy places the organism in Eukaryota, Viridiplantae, Streptophyta, Magnoliopsida, Fabales, Fabaceae.
AGUGCGUUCAAACACUAAAAGCCUAAAAUUCAACUGCAAAAAGUUUCAAAUAAAACACUGUAAGAACCACUGAAUAUGAAAAAGAAUAUCUAUCUAUAAACUCUAUAAAAAAAGAGUUUUUGCAGCCUUCAUGGUAAAUCUGUCAAUCAAUAUAUAAUUUCAAAGACUAUGAAGCUUGACCAUGGAUAUUUUCGUAAAAAUGUCUUUUAUUUCACUUGGAUUGAAUCUCAGCCAUUGAUUCACAAUAAAUUAUUAGUUACGGAUGAAAUCUAUACCGUUGAAAUCCUCCAGCAAUCUUGAUCUCCUUGGCUGUUUGCGUUUCUCAAUUUUCAUCCGUUUUCAUUCUAGGAGAAAUGUUUCUCUCUCUUGAACGUUUGAGUUUCUCCCUGUGCUCCGUUUCAGGCUCUUUUCCUUCCCCUUCCCAUUCGAGGAUAUUCCAAAACGCUAUAAGUCUACAACGUCAAAGAGAGAAAUCGAGAGAGAGAGAGGGGAUGAGAUUGGAGGCGACGUGGAAGACUCGGAGGAGGUUCGUAGGUUGUGGUGUUGCUGCGGCGCAUUACCCUGCCUCGCGUUCAGUUCGGUUGCACGCACCAUGUUUGUCGUCGCCCAUUAAGGAAUAAAUCGGUAUCGAUGUGAAGUGUUAACAUCACAUAAAAUUGAUCCUGAGUGUGUGUGCAGCAAUAGUUUUAGUCUGCAAGAACAGAGAAAGGGUUUCAGAUCGACGAGAGGGUUUAACAUGGACCUGCAUCGCCAUUGACACUUUGUAUACCCUGAUGUUGUGAUUUUGUUCAUUCGGCGAAUAACUACUAUGGAAUUGCUCAAACAGUAUAACCAGUUCAGACAAGAGAAAAAAAAAAGGAGAGCAAGAAGAACAAGUAAGGUUUGCAGGUUCAAGAUAUCGGUGAGGGGAAGGAGUUAUGGCGCACUUGGUAGAAAAGCUUUCGCGAAAGGAGGAGGUUUCAGUGUUGUUACCACUUGCUAUUUAACCUCUUCCAGCAUUGAUUGCCAUUUUGAACUAUACUUAUCUUGAAGCAUAGAGGUGAGAAAAUAUAUAUGGGGCCUUUAGGAUGGCAGUGUUCUCAUCUGAUCAAUUACUUGGAGGUGAUGGAAUUUCUCAAGUCCCUUGAGGUAUGACAGUCACUUUAGAAGGGGUGGAAAAUCAGAAGACCAGAUUCCAAUGGCUUGCCAGGGUGCUGUAGCAAUUUUGAUUAUGUUUGAUCUAACAAGUUGAUGCACAUUAAACAGGUUGAGCUAUAACUAUUUGAUGACUAUCAGAACAUAUUCUAUUGAAUAAGAAUUUGGAAGAAAUAGCUACAGGGAUACCAGAGAAUUUAUAAAAGCAUUUCAUGAUUAGCUUUGUCUUGAGUAAGUGAUAGCUUACGUUUCUUUCUAGACCAAAUGAUGAUUAUUAAGGGAAUGUGAAUGACUUCAUUUUUGUCUAUGUGGUUGUUGAGAUAAUGUUCCACACUAUUUAGCACCAAUUACUUCGCGUAGGCUGUUAGAAAUGUUGAUAGAGAAUGAUACCUGAACUACUUCUCACACCAGGUUGAAAGUAGAAGAAAGAUUUUGUUGUUUUCUUAGCCAAAACCUGUUCAGUAAUUUAUUCACCAAAAGAACUUUGCUAUGUAAUACUCUGCAUCAUCUUGCAGUACAGCCAUUGAAACCAUGUUUUUAAACCAAAACUUAUUGCAUAGUUUUUCAAUAUACAGCCAGAGAGUACAAUUGGUUGUUCACUUCAGAAGUUCUUUUUCCUCUUUAAAAUCUUAUUUAAUAUGUGAACCCAUCUUCCAUGUUUCUGAGGCUUCUUUGGAACAUAAUAUAGUUGGAGACAAUUUAUACUUUAGAAACAUAUUUUAUUCAUGUUAAGUUCAGUGGAUCCAGACUCAAACUUAAUCCACAAAGUGAUUCUUCUUUAGGAGUUCUUAUUCCCAUUUUAACUCUUACCAAAACCAUAACCUAUACUCAUUUGGAAAUCUUAAUCUUAAUAUUCUACAAUUGAGAGAUAUUUACCGCCACUACUGCACCCUGAAUGAUGUCCAUACAUUUCCCUU